Molecule: unclassified non-coding RNA, 259 nt
Filed under: uncultured Hypocreales
Lineage: Eukaryota; Fungi; Ascomycota; Sordariomycetes; Hypocreales
Description: sequence contains 5.8S rRNA gene, ITS2, 28S rRNA gene
Rfam family: 5.8S ribosomal RNA (bases 1-52)
Source: RNAcentral
AACGCACAUUGCGCCCGCCAGUACUCUGGCGGGCAUGCCUGUUCGAGCGUCAUUACAUCCCUCAAGCCCCAGCGGCUUGGUGUUGGGCUUCGGCCGUCCUCAGCGGCGGCCGUGCCCCAAAUACAGUGGCGGUCUCGCCCCCGGCUCCUCUGCGUAGUAGUAACAUCUCGCACUGGGACGGAGCGAAGGCCACGCCGUAAAACAACCCAACUUUCUGAAUGUUGACCUCGGAUCAGGUAGGAAUACCCGCUGAACUUAA